This 141-nucleotide microRNA precursor is filed under the name Vicugna pacos (alpaca). RNAcentral describes it as "miRNA (ENSVPAG00000016610.1)". Lineage: Eukaryota; Metazoa; Chordata; Mammalia; Artiodactyla; Camelidae. The record is from RNAcentral.
CAUUCCAUAUAUACGUAUACACAUAUAACAUAUAUAUGCCAUCUAGUAUAAGUAUGUCCCAUGUAAUAGUUGGGACAUAGUUAUGCCAAAGAAAUUAUUCAUUGUUUUUCUGAAUUUCAAAGUGUAUUAAGUGUACUGAUU